This 52-nucleotide microRNA precursor is filed under the name Heligmosomoides polygyrus. Its description in RNAcentral is "microRNA hpo-mir-10091 precursor". Lineage: Eukaryota; Metazoa; Nematoda; Chromadorea; Rhabditida; Heligmosomidae. The record is from miRBase by way of RNAcentral.
UGCAGGCAGUCCUAUGGGUGUCUAGUCUGAUACCCGUAGACUUUCUGUCGGA